UCCUAGCGUUAAGGAUAGAAACGGCAUCCUUUUAUGUAGUAAAACGGAAUAAAAGAUAGAGUGGAUAGCCUGACCUUGU
Molecule: small RNA, 79 nt
Filed under: Nematostella vectensis (starlet sea anemone)
Lineage: Eukaryota; Metazoa; Cnidaria; Anthozoa; Actiniaria; Edwardsiidae
Description: Flavo-1 RNA
Rfam family: Flavo-1 RNA
Source: Rfam by way of RNAcentral